RNAcentral lists this ribosomal RNA (253 nucleotides) under uncultured bacterium. RNAcentral's name for it is "partial 16S ribosomal RNA". It matches the Rfam family "Bacterial small subunit ribosomal RNA", at positions 524 to 776 of the family's 1533-position model. The record is from RNAcentral.
UACGUAGGGUGCAAGCGUUAUCCGGAUUCACUGGGUUUAAAGGGUGCGUAGGUGGGUUGGUAAGUCAGUGGUGAAUCUCCAGGCUUAACUUGGAAACUGCCAUCGAUACUAUCAAUCUUGAAUACCGUGGAGGUCAGCGGAAUAUGUCAUGUAGCGGUGAAAUGCUUAGAUAUGACACAGAACACCAAUUGCGAAGGCAGCUGGCUACACGAAUAUUGACACUGAUGCACGAAAGCGUGGGGGAUCAAAACAG